CAGUAGCCGCGGGAAUACGAAGGGUGCAAGCGUUACUCGGAAUUACUGGGCGUAAAGCGUGCGUAGGUGGUGGUUUAAGUCCGUUGUGAAAGCCCUGGGCUCAACCUGGGAAUUGCAGUGGAUACUGGAUCACUAGAGUGUGGUAGAGGAUAGUGGAAUUUCCGGUGUAGCAGUGAAAUGCGUAGAGAUCGGAAGGAACAUCUGUGGCGAAGGCGACUAUCUGGGCCAACACUGACACUGAGACACGAAAGCGUGGGGAGCAAACAGGAUUAGAUACCCGCGUAGUCCCUGUCUCUUAUAC
Molecule: ribosomal RNA, 301 nt
Filed under: uncultured bacterium
Lineage: Bacteria
Description: partial 16S ribosomal RNA
Rfam family: Bacterial small subunit ribosomal RNA
Source: RNAcentral